UGCCUACGGGAGGCAGCAGUGGGGAAUAUUGCACAAUGGGGGAAACCCUGAUGCAGCGACGCCGCGUGAGCGAUGAAGUAUUUCGGUAUGUAAAGCUCUAUCAGCAGGGAAGAAGAUGACGGUACCUGACUAAGAAGCCCCGGCUAACUACGUGCCAGCAGCCGCGGUAAUACGUAGGGGGCAAGCGUUAUCCGGAUUUACUGGGUGUAAAGGGAGCGUAGGCGGUCCGGAAAGUCAGCGGUAAAAGCCCGGGGCUCAACCCCGGCGAGCCGUUGAAACUGUCGGACUAGAGACGGCGAGAAGUA
Molecule: ribosomal RNA, 305 nt
Filed under: uncultured bacterium
Lineage: Bacteria
Description: bacterial SSU rRNA
Rfam family: Bacterial small subunit ribosomal RNA
Source: RNAcentral